This 81-nucleotide small RNA is filed under the name Sinorhizobium meliloti 2011. Its description in RNAcentral is "putative ncRNA". Lineage: Bacteria; Pseudomonadati; Pseudomonadota; Alphaproteobacteria; Hyphomicrobiales; Rhizobiaceae. The record is from RNAcentral.
CGAGUUCGAGUCAGCUUAUGGCAUAUAAGUUUGCUUGAAUGGACGCCGCGAUGCAAUCAGCACGCGCCGCUUUCUGUGGCA